Molecule: long non-coding RNA, 2452 nt
Organism: Chinchilla lanigera (long-tailed chinchilla)
Lineage: Eukaryota; Metazoa; Chordata; Mammalia; Rodentia; Chinchillidae
Exons: 4
Source: RefSeq, a predicted model, not a curated record
GUAAAGGACAGAUUGCUAUUAAUCCCAUUUAAGAUGCUCCCCCUUUCUUUGAACAUAACCCAUUAUUCUUGCUACUUUCUGAAGCAGACCUCGAGGUCCUCUCUCAUGAGUGUCUGCAGUUGCAUGGUUGUGGGUGCCUACAUGUCCAGAAUCUAUUCAAAACAUUUCCCUUUUUGGUCAUUUUGACAUUGGAUGAAAGCCAGAAGUCAAGUGGUUACAGAUCCCAUGAAUAAGGUAGAGGAGGAUGUGCUGUCAGGUUUUCACUUGACAGGAAUCGUAGACUGUAAACUGCGUCAGAAAGUGGCAAGAACAAUAGGAACACAUCUGAUAGGAAUCAUUAUUGCUUGUGGUAACAAAAAAUCAUGAAUACACAGAAAAGGUUUUGGCUCCUGAAUUUGGUAGGUAAAAACGGUAUGGAAUUUUGUUAAAAUAUAGCCAAAUACCAUCCUCCACUAGCAGAAGUACUUACUUAGAGAGCGCCUGACAUCUGCUAGGCACAGUUGUAAACACCCACACAUGCCCAUAGUGAGGCAGUAUUACUCCCAUUUUACAUAUAAGGAAACUAGAAGUCAGCCGCUUGGCCAGGCCAGCCAGUUGGUUGGUGGGAUGGAUUAUGUGAUGAUGUACUUUCUUUUUUUUUUUUAGGUUUUUUUCCGGUACCAGGAAUUGAACUCACAACCUUGCACUUGCCAGGCAAGCAUUGUGCCGCUGAGCUAAAUCCCCAGCCCCGAUGAUGAACUUUCUAAGUGCCACUGAAAACAAGUUUGGGUCUAUGAAAAAGGAGCCUCGCUUGGACACAAGCUCUGUGCGGACACAACUGUGUUUGUUUUGUUUGACUUUAGUUUGCAGCACGAAGCACUACGCUCAGCACACAGUAAGAUGUUGGAUGAGAUGAGCAGCUUUGCUCCACUAGGUGCUUCCUGCCAUGCUUUUUUACCUCAUCACAAAGCCACCAGGAUAAGACUCACUGGACUCAUGGACUCACUGAAACAUCCAAAACUGAAAGCCAGAAUAAACCUUUCAUCUGUUAAGGUGGCCUAGUUCAGGUAUUUUUGUCACAGUGCUGGAAACCUGACUACCACAUCCUUUAAUGUUCAGAAAUGCACAAAGCCUGACACCUGCCCUCCCUGGCCGGAGCCUACAUCAGCUGCUACAAGAGUUCUUUGGCCCUACUUUGCAUUCCUGCCCUGGGCUUCACAGGCACAUUCAGCAAAUUCAGACUCACCCCAGUGAGGCUGAGGACAGAAUGAUAGAGACAUGUCAACAGGAACAGAAGAACAUUUUCAAACACUGGCUUAUUCUUAAGCCACACUGUGAGUUCAUUAUUAAUGUAAUAGCUGUCUUGUGAAUAAGGUAAAUACACUGCACUGCCCCUCCCCGCUUUUUUUUGUUAAUUUGUUAAGUGUAACAUUAUUAUUAUACCAUGAUUAGCCAUGUACAGGGAUGUGGGUUUAUUCCACUCAAUUAUGGUUUGAAAGUGAUUUAUUCCCCACAGUUAAUCCCCAAGAUGCUGUGGCAUGAGGAGGGUCAAAAGUUAAUCCAGCAAUGAUGCUUUGAGGGUGGCACGUAGGAAGUUAUUAGAUUAGAUUAGGCGGCUAGGGUGGAACCCCAUGAUUGAAUCACGGUGGGUUCAGAAGGAGAGGGAGAGAGAGACCACACACAGAGACACACACUCCUGCCAUGACAUGACGCAGCUGAGGGGGCUUUGCCAGAGGCUGUAUCAUGCUGUGUGGACUAACAGCCUUCAAAACCGUGAGCCCAUAUAAACCUCUUUUCCUUAGGAAGUAGCCUGCCUCUCACAUUUUGUUGUAUUAAAGAAAAUCUGACUAGUACACUUCCCGUCCAGUGGAGCAACUUUCAGGCCUAAUUGGGAUAAGUGCGAUGAACCCAUUGCAUUUCCGGUGCACCAGCUCCAUAUUCACCAUCUGUGUGUGCACGUCUCAGAACACUCAGCCAUUCCUUCCUGAGCGUGCACACUCUUUGUCAUGAAUCAAAAACUCAGCUUUUAAAUUUUAUUUGCUUCUCUUUAGGUUCAUUUGGGAUUGGUUUUAUUCUUCAACGACCCUGGAGGGAUAAAAUCAGCCAUGUCCUGCCUCUGUCCACCUGUGAGAAGCCCUCGCCUGGACCACACGCCUCGACACUUCCCAAGGCCGCUUCCGUGUCCAGAUUCAGGGAAAUUAAAUAUCACCUAUUUUAAUUUGAACUAGAAAAUUUAAAAUCACAUAUGUGGCUCAUAAUUAUGGCUCACAUUGUACUUCUCUUGUAUGAUGCAGGCACCAGUGUUUAUGUAUGUGAAGUUCUGCACUUGUGCAAAGUGCAAAAUUAUAGAGCCAAUAUAAUUUAAUUCAGUCUUGGCUAGAAAAUGUGCCUGAAACUAGACUUUUUCUUACCCGAUUCAUACUUGUUUUGUUACAAUAAAGACAACCUUAUAUUUAAUGCUGGGAAGAGCAAA